CUGUGAUCUCAAAGAACUUGCAUAUUAUUAUUAUAAAUAAGAAUAAAAAAAAACAAAAAUAAUAAAUAAAACAAUUUUUGUUUAUUUAAUAAUAUGACAUUUUACCCAUUGGGGGGGUGUAAAAACCCUAUUCGUGAGUAUUUGCACUCGAAAGGGCUAUGAUUGUGGUGAAUAAUCAGACAUAGUACGAUAAGGUUGUAUGUCUAAAGGGAAACAGCCCAGAACAAGAGUUAAUAAGGUUCCAAAAUUAUUGUUAAGUGAAAAUAAGGGAGUGUUUAUCUUAUUCGACUAGGAAAUAGGCUUGGAAGCGGCCAUUUUUUGAAGAUCUCGUAAAAGAGCACUAGUUUGUUACAUGGAUAAUUGCACCAAAAAUUUAACGGAUCUAAACAAUAUACCGAUACCUUGUACAUAAAUAGUUAUAUAUCCUAGUUAUAUAUAAUAUAUAUGGGGUAGCAGAACGUAGGGCAAAUAUUAGAUUAUUUCUUUUUAAGAACUAAAAUGAGAUUACCCUAGUGAUAAUGCUGACAUGAGUAACGAUAAAGGGUAUAUUAAUAUACCCUCGCCUAAAGCUUAUGGUAUUCUAUUAAAGUAACGGCCUCUAAGUUUAUUAUUGUAGUCCUAAAGGACUAAACGAUGAGAAAAUCUUAAUGUUUAUAUAAAUAACCCUUAAGUAUGAAAAAAUAUGUAGUAUAAACGUAUAAAUAGUAUUAAUAUUACACAAUUAGAUACUUUAAAUUUUAUAAUUUAUAUAAGGCCAUUUAUAAAAAUAAAAAUAUUUACUGUAUAUGUUUGCACAUCUAUUUUAACAACAUUUUUUUGUAAGUGACGUAGGUUCUGGAAAAUAUUAUAUUUAGCAACCGUACCUAGAAACUACCCC
RNAcentral lists this ribosomal RNA (877 nucleotides) under Pertusaria pertusa. RNAcentral describes it as "partial large subunit ribosomal RNA". The stretch from base 64 to 426 matches the Rfam family "Bacterial large subunit ribosomal RNA", at positions 865 to 1226 of the family's 2925-position model. The record is from RNAcentral. Lineage: Eukaryota; Fungi; Ascomycota; Lecanoromycetes; Pertusariales; Pertusariaceae.